RNAcentral lists this transfer RNA (151 nucleotides) under Anopheles stephensi (Asian malaria mosquito). Its description in RNAcentral is "tRNA tRNA-Tyr". It matches the Rfam family "tRNA". From Rfam's summary of the family: Transfer RNA (tRNA) molecules are approximately 80 nucleotides in length. Their secondary structure includes four short double-helical elements and three loops (D, anti-codon, and T loops). Further hydrogen bonds mediate the characteristic L-shaped molecular structure. tRNAs have two regions of fundamental functional importance: the anti-codon, which is responsible for specific mRNA codon recognition, and the 3' end, to which the tRNAs corresponding amino acid is attached (by aminoacyl-tRNA synthetases). tRNAs cope with the degeneracy of the genetic code in two manners: having more than one tRNA (with a specific anti-codon) for a particular amino acid; and 'wobble' base-pairing, i.e. permitting non-standard base-pairing at the 3rd anti-codon position. The record is from RNAcentral. Lineage: Eukaryota; Metazoa; Arthropoda; Insecta; Diptera; Culicidae.
CCUUCGAUAGCUCAGUUGGUAGAGCGGUGGACUGUAGAAAUUUGGGAAAGUUAAAUGUGUGUAUCGUACCUCCUGAGGUUCGAUCACUUGAUCAAGCUUUUCCGAUCGAGUAGAAAUCCAUAGGUCACUGGUUCAAAUCCGGUUCGAAGGA